This is a long non-coding RNA of Cephus cinctus (wheat stem sawfly), 905 nucleotides long. RefSeq lists it as uncharacterized. The record is from RefSeq and is a predicted model, not a curated record. The transcript has 3 exons. Lineage: Eukaryota; Metazoa; Arthropoda; Insecta; Hymenoptera; Cephidae.
UUUUUGUAAAUAGUUGUACUGCGUUUUCAAGAUGGCAAGAGUCACUAGAACUCUUUGUCUGCUUCAAAGGAAAUAAAUCCUUUUUGAGUCAAUAUGAAAAUUCCUGGUUGAAUUGCUUGUCUUUUGGAUUGAUCGGAAAUCCAUGGAAUUACUUAUCUUUCGGAUUUUUGGAUCUUUGGAAGUUAUUGGGAUAUUCUUCCGUCUCAAGAUGACGGAGACUUGUAAAGGACAGGCAUGCUCGUAUUAUCACGUAUAAUUUGGUUCUCGAUUUAAAAUUCAUACUGAGACCGUUGUGGCAAGAUUGUUGGAAUAUGUAUAAACGAUUUAAAGAAAUUGCGCAGAUCCGAAACGAGUCAUGUUCCAGUAUAGAACCAAAAAAAGUCCGCCUGACAGCUCCUCAUUGCACGAAAAUCCAUUAUAAAAGUCAGUGAUAAAAUUGUUCCAAAAUGAAAUGACAAGGAAUCCGAAGAAAGUGAAUUUCAUGGAUUUAUCGAUCAAUUCCAAUAUACCUGAUACACAAAUCCUUAAUACCAAUAGGAUAUAUUGUUAAUCAAUUUUUUGUCGUCCAAUCAUAUACAAGUCCCUAUCACAAUAACACACUCAAUAAUCAUAUGGAUCAUCCAUCAACACUAAAAAACGCUCGAUCAAAAAUCAAGUCAAGAUUAUCAAGUCAAUAAGCCCCCAAGUCGGAACGAACUCCCAGGAGGGUGAUAAUAAAAAAAAAGUUAAAAAAUAAAGUCAAAGUAAAACAGAAAUUUCUCAUCUAUUAUCAUCAAAGUACAACGUCACAGUAGUCAACAAUGGCGUUCUGUAGCGAUGGGAUACUUUUAACGGCGCCAAAACCUUUUUCGUGUCAAUAAAAAAGUAAAAAAAAAAAGAAAAUAAGACAAAAACAAAAGAAAAAG